RNAcentral lists this ribosomal RNA (253 nucleotides) under uncultured bacterium. Its description in RNAcentral is "partial 16S ribosomal RNA". It matches the Rfam family "Bacterial small subunit ribosomal RNA", at positions 524 to 776 of the family's 1533-position model. The record is from RNAcentral.
UACGGGGGGGGCAAGCGUUGUUCGGAAUUACUGGGCGUAAAGGGCUCGUAGGUGGUCAACUAAGUCGGACGUGAAAUCCCUCAGCUUAACUGGGGAACUGCGUCCGAUACUGGAUGGCUUGAGUUUGGGAGAGGGAUGCGGAAUUCCAGGUGUAGCGGUGAAAUGCGUAGAUAUCUGGAGGAACACCGGUGGCGAAGGCGGCGUUCUGGACUGUAACUGACACUGAGAAACGAAAGCCAGGGUAGCAAACGGG